Molecule: transfer RNA, 67 nt
Filed under: Faxonius limosus (spinycheek crayfish)
Lineage: Eukaryota; Metazoa; Arthropoda; Malacostraca; Decapoda; Cambaridae
Also listed under: 3 other names
Description: tRNA-Ser
Source: RNAcentral
GAAAUUUACUGGUUAAGAAAAAGCUUCUAACUUAUUUCUUGAGCGGUUAAAUUCCGUUCAAAUUUCA